GGAGAAAAGCAGGGGAUCGCAAGACCUUGCGCUCUUGGAGCGGCCGAUGCCUGAUUAGCUAGUUGGUGAGGUAAAGGCUUACCAAGGCGACGAUCAGUAGCUGGUCUGAGAGGACGACCAGCCACACUGGGACUGAGACACGGCCCAAACUCCUACGGGAGGCAGCAGUGGGGAAUUUUGGACAAUGGGGGAAACCCUGAUCCAGCCAUGCCGCGUGAGUGAAGAAGGCCUUCGGGUUGUAAAGCUCUUUCAGCCGGAACGAAACGGUCACGGCUAAUACCUGUGACUACUGACGGUACCGGAAGAAGAAGCACCGGCUAACUACGUGCCAGCAGCCGCGGUAAUACGUAGGGUGCAAGCGUUAAUCGGAAUUACUGGGCGUAAAGCGUGCGCAGGCGGUUUUGUAAGUCAAAUGUGAAAUCCCCGGGCUUAACCUGGGAACUGCGUUUGAAACUACAAGGCUAG
This 465-nucleotide ribosomal RNA is filed under the name uncultured beta proteobacterium. Its description in RNAcentral is "bacterial SSU rRNA". It matches the Rfam family "Bacterial small subunit ribosomal RNA", at positions 198 to 644 of the family's 1533-position model. Lineage: Bacteria; Pseudomonadati; Pseudomonadota; Betaproteobacteria. The record is from RNAcentral.